RNAcentral lists this ribosomal RNA (492 nucleotides) under uncultured bacterium. RNAcentral describes it as "partial 16S ribosomal RNA". It matches the Rfam family "Bacterial small subunit ribosomal RNA", at positions 29 to 507 of the family's 1533-position model. The record is from RNAcentral.
AGUGAACGCUGGCGGUAGGCCUAACACAUGCAAGUCGAACGGCAGCACAGUAAGAGCUUGCUCUUACGGGUGGCGAGUGGCGGACGGGUGAGGAAUACAUCGGAAUCUACUUUUUCGUGGGGGAUAACGUAGGGAAACUUACGCUAAUACCGCAUACGACCUACGGGUGAAAGCAGGGGAUCUUCGGACCUUGCGCGAUUGAAUGAGCCGAUGUCGGAUUAGCUAGUUGGCGGGGGAAAGGCCCACCAAGGCGACGAUCCGUAGCUGGUCUGAGAGGAUGAUCAGCCACACUGGAACUGAGACACGGUCCAGACUCCUACGGGAGGCAGCGGUGGGGAAUAUUAGACAAUGGGCGCAAGCCUGAUCCAGCCAUACCGCGUGGGUGAAGAAGGCCUUCGGGUUGUAAAGCCCUUUUGUUGGGAAAGAAGAGCAGCAGGUUAAUACCCCGCUGUUCUGACGGUACCCAAAGAAUAAGCACCGGCUAACUUCGUG